RNAcentral lists this ribosomal RNA (253 nucleotides) under uncultured bacterium. RNAcentral describes it as "partial 16S ribosomal RNA". It matches the Rfam family "Bacterial small subunit ribosomal RNA", at positions 524 to 776 of the family's 1533-position model. The record is from RNAcentral.
UACGUAGGUGGCAAGCGUUGUCCGGAAUUAUUGGGCGUAAAGGGCGUGUAGGCGGUAGUAAAAGUCUGGUGUGAAAGUUUGCAGCUUAACUGUAAAAUUGCAUUGGAAACUAUACAACUAGAGUGUCGGAGAGGAAAGCGGAAUUCCAUGUGUAGCGGUGAAAUGCGUAGAUAUAUGGAGGAACACCAGUGGCGAAGGCGGCUUUCUGGACGACUACUGACGCUGAGGCGCGAAAGCGUGGGGAGCAAACAGG